Molecule: ribosomal RNA, 253 nt
Filed under: uncultured bacterium
Lineage: Bacteria
Description: partial 16S ribosomal RNA
Rfam family: Bacterial small subunit ribosomal RNA
Source: RNAcentral
CACAGAGGUCUCAAGCGUUGUUCGGAUUCAUUGGGCGUAAAGGGUGUGUAGGUGGCGCCGUAAGUCGGGUGUGAAAUCUCGGGGCUUAACUCCGAAACUGCAUUCGAUACUGCGGUGCUUGAGGACUGGAGAGGAGACUGGAAUUCAUGGUGUAGCAGUGAAAUGCGUAGAGAUCAUGAGGAAGACCAGUGGCGAAGGCGGGUCUCUGGACAGUUCCUGACACUGAGACACGAAGGCCAGGGGAGCAAACGGG